AACUAAUAAAGCAAGAGUCCAAAGAGUUUCCCGAAAGAUUUAAAACUAAUUCAAAAUACUAUCCUUGGUUUAAGAAUUGCAUAGGUGCGAUUGACGGUACACAUAUCAGUGCAUCGGUUCCUGCAGAAAAACAAAUUUCAUGUAGAGAUAGAAAGGCAACAAUCACACAAAAUGUCAUGUGUGCUUGUGAUUUUAACAUGAUGUUUACGUAUGUAUAUUCGGGAUGGGAAGGAAGUGCACAUGAUUCAAAGAUUCUUUUGGAUGCAAUUACAAAUCAAAAUGCUGAAUUUCCUUGGCCACCUAGAGGUUCCUUUUAUCUCGUUGAUUCUGGGUAUCCAUGUAUUGGAGGUUUUCUUCCCCCUUGUAGGGGUGAAAGGUAUCAUGCA
Long non-coding RNA from Lathyrus oleraceus (garden pea), 386 nucleotides. RefSeq lists it as uncharacterized. The transcript has 3 exons. NCBI's taxonomy places the organism in Eukaryota, Viridiplantae, Streptophyta, Magnoliopsida, Fabales, Fabaceae. The record is from RefSeq and is a predicted model, not a curated record.